GGUGGGGCAAAUGAUUGGGGUGAAGUCGUAACAAGGUAUCCCUACCGGAAGGUGGGGAUGGAUCACCUCCUUUCU
Molecule: ribosomal RNA, 75 nt
Filed under: Lihuaxuella thermophila
Lineage: Bacteria; Bacillati; Bacillota; Bacilli; Caryophanales; Thermoactinomycetaceae
Description: 16S rRNA. Bacterial SSU
Rfam family: Bacterial small subunit ribosomal RNA
Source: RNAcentral